GACGAACGCUGGCGGCGUGCUUAACACAUGCAAGUCGAACGGAAAGGCCCGGCUUUGGUGGGGUGCUCGAGUGGCGAACGGGUGAGUAACACGUGAGUAACCUGCCCUUGACUGUGGGAUAACUUCAGGAAACUGGGGCUAAUACCGGAUAGGAGCUCCUGCUGCAGGGUGGGGGUUGGAAAGUUUCGGCGGUUGGGGAUGGACUCGCGGCUUAUCAGCUUGUUGGUGGGGUAGUGGCUUACCAAGGCUUUGACGGGUAGCCGGCCUGGGAGGGUGACCGGCCAAAUUGGGACUGGGAUACGGCACAGACUCCUACGGGAGGCAGCAGUGGGGAAUAUUGCACAAUGGGCGGAAGCCUGAUGCAGCCACGCCGCGUGCGGGAUGACGGCCUGCGGGUUGGAAACCGCUUUCGCCUGUGACGAAGCGUGAGUGACGGUAAUGGGUAAAGAAGCACCGGCUAACUACGUG
This 468-nucleotide ribosomal RNA is filed under the name uncultured bacterium. Its description in RNAcentral is "partial 16S ribosomal RNA". It matches the Rfam family "Bacterial small subunit ribosomal RNA", at positions 28 to 507 of the family's 1533-position model. The record is from RNAcentral.